Molecule: ribosomal RNA, 761 nt
Filed under: uncultured Acidimicrobiales bacterium
Lineage: Bacteria; Bacillati; Actinomycetota; Acidimicrobiia; Acidimicrobiales
Description: bacterial SSU rRNA
Rfam family: Bacterial small subunit ribosomal RNA
Source: RNAcentral
AGAGUUUGAUCCUGGCUCAGGAUGAACGCUGGCGGUCUGCUUAACACAUGCAAGUCGAACGAAUCCCUUCGGGGAUUAGUGGCGGACGGGUGAGUAACGCGUGAGAAUUUACCAAAAGGACUGGGAUAACAGCGGGAAACCGCUGCUAAUACCGGAUGCCCUCAAUGGAUCGCAUGGUCCGCUGAGGAAAUGGAUUCUGCUUCGGGAGGGCUUCGCGGCCUAUCAGCUUGUUGGUGGGGUAACGGCCCACCAAGGCUUCGACGGGUAGCUGGUCUGAGAGGACGAUCAGCCACACUGGGACUGAGACACGGCCCAGACUCCUACGGGAGGCAGCAGUGGGGAAUCUUGCCCAAUGGGCGAAAGCCUGAGGCAGCAACGCCGCGUGUGGGAUGACGGCCCUUGGGUUGUAAACCACUUUCAGCAGGGACGAAAAUGACGGUACCUGCAGAAGAAGCUCCGGCCAACUACGUGCCAGCAGCCGCGGUAAGACGUAGGGAGCAAGCGUUGUCCGGAUUUAUUGGGCGUAAAGGGCUCGUAGGCGGCUUGGCAAGUCGGGUGUGAAAUCUCCAGGCUCAACCUGGAGACGCCACUCGAUACUGCCAUGGCUUGAGUUCGGUAGGGGACCACGGAAUUCCCGGUGUAGCGGUGGAAUGCUUAGAUAUCGGGAGGAACACCAGUGGCGAAGGCGGUGGUCUGGGCCGAAACUGACGCUGAUGAGCGAAAGCGUGGGUAGCAAACAGGAUUAGAUACCCCCGUAGUCC